UCGUGGAGUGAUUUGUCUGCUUAAUUGCGAUAACGAACGAGACCUUAACCUGCUAAAUAGCCAGGCUAGCUUUGGCUGGUCGCCGGCUUCUUAGAGGGACUAUCGGCUCAAGCCGAUGGAAGUCUGAGGCAAUAACA
RNAcentral lists this ribosomal RNA (137 nucleotides) under uncultured eukaryote. RNAcentral's name for it is "partial 18S ribosomal RNA". It matches the Rfam family "Eukaryotic small subunit ribosomal RNA", at positions 1299 to 1458 of the family's 1831-position model. The record is from RNAcentral.